RNAcentral lists this ribosomal RNA (28 nucleotides) under Usnea aurantiacoatra. RNAcentral's name for it is "partial 28S ribosomal RNA". The record is from RNAcentral. Lineage: Eukaryota; Fungi; Ascomycota; Lecanoromycetes; Lecanorales; Parmeliaceae.
UGAACCUCGGAUCAGGUAGGGAUACCCG